GACUCCACGAAGCUGGAUUCGCUAGUAAUCGCGCAUCAGCCACGGCGCGGUGAAUACGUUCCCGGGCCUUGUACACACCGCCCGUCAAGCCAUGGGAGCCGGGGUACCUGAAGUGCGUAACCGCGAGGAUCGCCCUAGGGUAAAACUGGUGACUGGGGCUAAGUCGUAACAAGGUACC
Molecule: ribosomal RNA, 178 nt
Filed under: uncultured bacterium
Lineage: Bacteria
Description: partial 16S ribosomal RNA
Rfam family: Bacterial small subunit ribosomal RNA
Source: RNAcentral